GUGGGGAAUCUUGCGCAAUGGGCGAAAGCCUGACGCAGCCAUGCCGCGUGAAUGAUGAAGGUCUUAGGAUUGUAAAAUUCUUUCACCGGGGACGAUAAUGACAGUACCCGGAGAAGAAGCUCCGGCUAACUUCGUGCCAGCAGCCGCGGUAAUACGAAGGGGGCUAGCGUUGCUCGGAAUUACUGGGCGUAAAGGGCGCGUAGGCGGACAGCUUAGUCAGAGGUGAAAGCCCAGGGCUCAACCUUGGAAUUGCCUUUGAUACUGGCUGUCUUGAGUUUGGGAGAGGUGAGUGGAACUCCGAGUGUAGAGGUGAAAUUCGUAGAUAUUCGGAAGAACACCAGUGGCGAAGGCGACUCACUGGCCCAAUACUGACGCUGAGGUGCGAAAGCGUGGGGAGCAAACAGGAUUAGAUACCCGAGUAGUCC
This 425-nucleotide ribosomal RNA is filed under the name uncultured bacterium. RNAcentral describes it as "partial 16S ribosomal RNA". It matches the Rfam family "Bacterial small subunit ribosomal RNA", at positions 354 to 796 of the family's 1533-position model. The record is from RNAcentral.